ACGAACGCUGGCGGCGUGCUUCACCCAUGCCAGUCGAACGGUGAAGCCCUUCGGGGUGGAUCAGUGGCGAACGGGUGAGUAACACGUGAGCAACCUGCCCCUGGCUCUGGGACAACCACUGGAAACGGUGGCUAAUACCGGAUACGACCCGCCUCGGCAUCGAGUGUGGGUGGAAAGUUUUUCGGCUGGGGAUGGGCUCGCGGCCUAUCAGCUUGUUGGUGAGGUGAAGGCUCACCAAGGCGACGACGGGUAGCCGGCCUGAGAGGGCGACCGGCCACACUGGGACUGAGACACGGCCCAGACUCCUACGGGAGGCAGCAGUGGGGAAUAUUGCACAAUGGGCGAAAGCCUGAUGCAGCGACGCCGCGUGAGGGAUGACGGCCUUCGGGUUGUAAACCUCUUUCAGCUCCGAAGAAGCGAAAGUGACGGUAGGAGCAGAAGAAGCACCGGCUAACUACGUG
This 461-nucleotide ribosomal RNA is filed under the name uncultured bacterium. Its description in RNAcentral is "partial 16S ribosomal RNA". It matches the Rfam family "Bacterial small subunit ribosomal RNA", at positions 29 to 507 of the family's 1533-position model. The record is from RNAcentral.